Molecule: ribosomal RNA, 500 nt
Filed under: uncultured bacterium
Lineage: Bacteria
Description: partial 16S ribosomal RNA
Rfam family: Bacterial small subunit ribosomal RNA
Source: RNAcentral
AUUGAACGCUGGCUGCAUGCCUUACACAUGCAAGUCGAACGGCAGCACGGGAGCAAUCCUGGUGGCGAGUGGCGAACGGGCGAGUAAAGUAUCGGAACGUGCCCAGUCGUGGGGGAUAACGUAGCGAAAGUUACGCUCAUACCGCAUCCGAUCUAUGGAUGAAAGCGGGGGCUCGCAAGACCUCGCGCGAUUGGAGCGGCCGAUAUCAGAUUAGGUAGUGGGUGGGGUAAAGGCUCACCAAGCCGACGAUCUGUAGCUCGUCUGAGAGGACGACCAGCCACACUGAGACUGGGACACGGCCCAGAGUCCUACGGGAGGCAGCAGUGGGGAAUUUUGGACAAUGUGCGAAAGCCUGAUCCAGCCAUGCCGCGUGCAGGAUGAAGGCCUUCGGGUUGUAAACUGCUUUUGUACGGAACGAAAAGGUUUGGCCUAAUAAGCUGAGCUCAUGACGGUACCGUAAGAAUAAGCACCGGCUAACUACGUGCCAGCAGCCGCGGUAA